This 246-nucleotide ribosomal RNA is filed under the name uncultured bacterium. RNAcentral's name for it is "partial 16S ribosomal RNA". It matches the Rfam family "Bacterial small subunit ribosomal RNA", at positions 523 to 769 of the family's 1533-position model. The record is from RNAcentral.
AUACGUAGGGGGCAAGCGUUGUCCGGAAUUAUUGGGCGUAAAGCGCGCGCAGGCGGUCAAGUAAGUCUGGUGUAUAAACCCUAAGCUCAACUUGGGGUCGCAUUGGAAACUGGUUGACUGGAGUGUAGGAGAGGGAAGUGGAAUUCCACGUGUAGCGGUGAAAUGCGUAGAGAUGUGGAGGAACACCAGUGGCGAAGGCGACUUUCUGGAUAGAUACUGACACUGAGACACGAAAGCGUGGGGAGC